UAUGUUAAGUGGAAAAGGAUGUGGGGUUGCACAGACAACUAGGAUGUUAGCUUAGAAGCAGCUAUUCAUUCAAAGAGUGCGUAAUAGCUCACUAGUCGAGUGACCCUGCGCCGAAAAUGUACCGGGGCUAAAACAUAUUACCGAAGCUGUGGAUGACACAAAAGUGUCAUGGUAGGAGAGCGUUCUAUGUGUGAAGAAGGUGUACCGUGAGGAGCGCUGGAACGCAUAGAAGUGAGAAUGCCGGUAUGAGUAGCGCAAGACAGGUGAGAAUCCUGUCCACCGUAAGACUAAGGUUUCCAGGGGAAGGCUCGUCCGCCCUGGGUUAGUCGGGACCUAAGGAGAGACCGAAAGGUGUAUCCGAUGGACAACAGGUUGAUAUUCCUGUACUAGAGUAUAUAGUGAUGGAGGGACGCAGUAGGCUAACUAAACCAGACGAUUGGAAGUGUCUGGUCAAACAGUGAGGUGUGAUAUGAGUCAAAUGCUUAUAUCUUUAACAUUGAGCUGUGACGAGGAGCGAAGUUUAGUAGCGAAGUUAGUGAUGUCACACUGCCAAGAAAAGCUUCUAGCGAUACAUAUACUCUACCCGUACCGCAAACCGACACAGGUAGUCGAGGCGAGUAGCCUCAGGUGAGCGAGAGAACUCUCGUUAAGGAACUCGGCAAAAUGGCCCCGUAACUUCGGGAGAAGGGGCGCUGAUUUUAGAUCAGCCGCAGUGAAUAGGCCCAAGCAACUGUUUAUCAAAAACACAGCUCUCUGCUAAAUCGUAAGAUGAUGUAUAGGGGGUGACGCCUGCCCGGUGCUGGAAGGUUAAGAGGAGUGCUUAGCGUAAGCGAAGGUAUGAAUUGAAGCCCCAGUAAACGGCGGCCGUAACUAUAACGGUCCUAAGGUAGCGAAAUUCCUUGUCGGGUAAGUUCCGACCCGCACGAAAGGCGUAAUGAUUUGGGCACUGUCUCAACGAGAGACUCGGUGAAAUUUUAGUACCUGUGAAGAUGCAGGUUACCCGCGACAGGACGGAAAGACCCCAUGGAGCUUUACUGCAGUUUGAUAUUGAGUAUCUGUACCACAUGUACAGGAUAGGUAGGAGCCUAUGAUAACGGGACGCCAGUUUCGUUUGAGGCGUUGUUGGGAUACUACCCUUGUGUUAUGGCUACUCUAACCCAGAUAGGCAAUCCCUAUCGGAGACAGUGUCUGACGGGCAGUUUGACUGGGGCGGUCGCCUCCUAAAAGGUAACGGAGGCGCCCAAAGGUUCCCUCAGACUGGUUGGAAAUCAGUCGUAGAGUGUAAAGGUAUAAGGGAGCUUGACUGCGAGAGCUACAACUCGAGCAGGGACGAAAGUCGGGCUUAGUGAUCCGGUGGUUCCGU
RNAcentral lists this ribosomal RNA (1363 nucleotides) under Streptococcus agalactiae. RNAcentral's name for it is "partial 23S ribosomal RNA". It matches the Rfam family "Bacterial large subunit ribosomal RNA", at positions 1055 to 2432 of the family's 2925-position model. Lineage: Bacteria; Bacillati; Bacillota; Bacilli; Lactobacillales; Streptococcaceae. The record is from RNAcentral.